UUCCGGUUGAUCCUGCCGGACCUGACUGCUAUCGGAUUGAUACUAAGCCAUGCGAGUCAUUGUAGUAAUACAAGGCAGACGGCUCAGUAACGCGUAGUCAACCUAACCUAUGGACGGGAAUAACCUCGGGAAACUGAGUAUAAUGCCCGAUAGAACAUUAUGCCUGGAAUGGUUUAUGUUCCAAAUGAUUUAUCGCCGUAGGAUGGGACUGCGGCCUAUCAGUUUGUUGGUGAGGUAAUGGCCCACCAAGACUAUUACAGGUACGGGCUCUGAGAGGAGUAGCCCGGAGAUGGGUACUGAGACACGGACCCAGGCCCUAUGGGGCGCAGCAGGCGAGAAAACUUUGCAAUGUGCGAAAGCACGACAAGGUUAAUCCGAGUGGUUUGUGCUAAACAGACCUUUUGUUAGUCCUAGAAACACUAACGAAUAAGGGGUGGGCAAGUUCUGGUGUCAGCCGCCGCGGUAAAACCAGCACCUCAAGUGGUCAGGAUGAUUAUUGGGCCUAAAGCAUCCGUAGCCGGCUCUGUAAGUUUUCGGUUAAAUCUGUAUGCUCAACAUACAGGCUGCCGGGAAUACUGCAGAGCUAGGGAGUGGGAGAGGUAGACGGUACUCGGUAGGAAGGGGUAAAAUCCUUUGAUCUAUUGAUGACCACCUGUGGCGAAGGCGGUCUACCAGAACACGUCCGACGGUGAGGGAUGAAAGCUGGGGGAGCAAACCGGAUUAGAUACCCGGGUAGUCCCAGCUGUAAACUAUGCAAACUCAGUGAUGCAUUGGCUUGUGGCCAAUGCAGUGCUGCAGGGAAGCCGUUAAGUUUGCCGCCUGGGAAGUACGUACGCAAGUAUGAAACUCAAAGGAAUUGGCGGGGGAGCACCACAAGGGGUGAAGCCUGCGGUUCAAUUGGAGUCAACGCCGGAA
Molecule: ribosomal RNA, 915 nt
Filed under: uncultured archaeon
Lineage: Archaea
Description: bacterial SSU rRNA
Rfam family: Archaeal small subunit ribosomal RNA
Source: RNAcentral